GAUGAACGCUGGCGGCGUGCCUAAUACAUGCAAGUCGAGCGAACGGACGAGAAGCUUGCUUCUCUGAUGUUAGCGGCGGACGGGUGAGUAACACGUGGAUAACCUACCUAUAAGAUUGGGAUAACUUCGGGAAACCGGAGCUAAUACCGGAUAAUAUUAUGAACCGCAUGGUUCAAAAGUGAAAGACGGUCUUGCUGUCACUUAUAGAUGGAUCCGCGCUGCAUUAGCUAGUUGGUAAGGUAACGGCUUACCAAGGCAACGAUGCAUAGCCGACCUGAGAGGGUGAUCGGCCACACUGGAACUGAGACACGGUCCAGACUCCUACGGGAGGCAGCAGUAGGGAAUCUUCCGCAAUGGGCGAAAGCCUGACGGAGCAACGCCGCGUGAGUGAUGAAGGUCUUCGGAUCGUAAAACUCUGUUAUUAGGGAAGAACAUAUGUGUAAGUAACUGUGCACAUCUUGACGGUACCUAAUCAGAAAGCCACGGCUAACUACGUG
This 497-nucleotide ribosomal RNA is filed under the name uncultured bacterium. RNAcentral describes it as "partial 16S ribosomal RNA". It matches the Rfam family "Bacterial small subunit ribosomal RNA", at positions 28 to 507 of the family's 1533-position model. The record is from RNAcentral.